Long non-coding RNA from Cavia porcellus (domestic guinea pig), 9409 nucleotides. RefSeq lists it as uncharacterized. The transcript is spliced from 3 exons. The record is from RefSeq and is a predicted model, not a curated record. Lineage: Eukaryota; Metazoa; Chordata; Mammalia; Rodentia; Caviidae.
AGCUUGCUAUUUGCAGCUGCCAUGAACUGCAGCCCAGCCAUGCCUGCCUGCCCUGGAGCCAACUGAGUGUGGACUGAGACCUCCAAAAACUGUAAGAAAUAAACCUUUCCUUUCCCAAAUUUGGGCUUCAGGUAUUUUGACUCAGCGAUGAGCAUAAAGUAACUAAGACAGAAUUUGGUACCAAGGAGUGGGGUCAUGUGCUGUGACUAUACCUGACCAUGUUUUUCGAGAGGCUUUGGAAUUCGAUUGUGGGUGGAGUUUAGAAAGGUUUGGACACAUCGCCUGGAUGUGUAGAGCUGGAGCAGCUUAAGCUGUUCUGUACAGAAGAUUCUGGUCAGAGCUCAGGAGACCAGAAGGCUGAUAAAAAGCCUCAUGGUAAAGAGCAGGCUUUGGAGGAUUCUGCUGGGAAGGACUGCAUUGGCUGUUGGACUCCACAUGAUGUGUGUUAUGGCUUGGCAGAAAGUUUGUCUACAUUUUGCUCCUGCCCAGAGACUUUGCCUGAGACUGAGACAAAGGGCAAUGGACUGAUUAAUCUUGAAAAAGUAAUUAAAAAGCAAUCAAACAUUGAGGCUGUCCCAUGGCUAUUGUUGAGGGCUUUCAGUCAGCUUUAUGUUUCGAAUCAAGAGCAAAGAGCCCAGGAGGAUAAUUUCCACUACUGUGAGUUUGGCCAGAAGGAAAAUUCCAAGAAGGCUGUGGAUUGUAAAGACAGAGUUGAGAUUUUGAUUCCUGAGGGGAAACAGAGAGAUAAAAAAGAUGGCCCUGGGGCAUCCCAGGAAGCAGGUCCAAACCAUGUGCAGCCUCACAGCAAAGCUGAAAGAAUUUGCUCAGAGGAGAAAGCUGCAGAGUGCCAUGUUCCAGAAUGGCGACAGAGGCCACAUGAGGUUCCAGAAUGGUGGCAAAACAGUGAAGCUUUUCAUCACAAUCAGGAAAACAGGCCCUGAAAUCCUGACCCCUACAGCCAAGAAGCAGAAUAGCCUGUCUGCUGCUUCAGCUAGCAGCUAACCUUGGCGGCAUUCACAAGGUGCUGAUUUUAGGUGCAAGGAAAAUGCACAAAUUCUGAGGGUAAGAUGGCUUCCACCUCGAUUGCAAAGGGGCUGGGCGGCCACGCAGUGUGUCCCUGAGAGAGCAAUUUGAGAAGAUGUUAAGGUGAAGCCCAAGGUGCAGUGGAAACCCCAGAAGUUUAGAAAAGCCAGGAAAGUGGAUGAUCCAAGGAAAGCUGCAAAAAGUGAGCAGAGAAGAUUUAAGAGAGAAGCUGCAGGAGCUGAUAUCCCGGGAAGUGCCAUGGGGGUGGAAUCACCCAAGCCUUUUGGAGCUUGCAACCAGAUUGCUUCAGAUGCUGAGCAUGGAACUCUAGGACUUAAUGUUUGCCCUUCUGGAUGUUGGACUUGCUUUGUGUCCAAUGCUUUCUAUUUCACUGUUUGUAAUUUUGUAAUGGUAAUUUUUAUAUUGUGCCUUUGCAUUUCAGAAAUGUUUAACCUUGUUUCAUUUGUACAGGGGUUGCAGUUAAGAGUUUGCCAUAGAUCUCAGAGGAGAUUUUGGACUUGGACUUUUCAGCAAUGCUGAAGCUGUUAGGACUUUGGCAACUCUUGGAGGUGGACUAAGUGUCUUUUGUAUAGAGGAUGUACAUGACUCCUGGGGGCCAGGGGUGGAAUGUCAUGGUUUAUGUCUGUGUCCCCCAGGCCUCAUGAGUUUGAAUUGUGCAUUUGUUAUUCGUUCAUUGUCUAGUGCUUGGAUAGAUGGUAUCAGUGCUCCACCCACAAAGGGGUGGAGCCAGGAUGUGGUAUAAUGGCAGGAAGAAGGUGUGUCUUGCUCUUUGCUAGUUCCAGCUUGCUGUUUGCAACCGCCAUGAAUUGCAGCCCAGCCAUCCCUGCCUGCCUUGGAGUCAACUGAGUUUGGACUGAAACCUCCAAAAACUGUAAGAAAUAAAUCUUUCCUUUCCCAAAUUUGGGCUUCAGGUGUGUUGACUCAGCGACAACCAUAAAGUAACUAAGAAAGCAAAGGAAACAACAGAGUGAAGAGGCAAUAAAAAAAUGUGGAAACAUUUUAUUCCCAGCUACAAUUGAGAGAGAGGACUGAUAUUUAGAAUAUAUAAAGAACACAAAAAUUAGAUAUCAAAUAAAAGACUGUUAUGGGUGAUACAUUUUGUCAACUUGAGUAGUUUAGAAUUUUAACUGAUUCAGCAGGGAGCCAGGAUCUUGUUGUUAAUAUUCGCAUCCUACACAGAUUUCCUGAGUGCUACAUGCUCCUACUGGAGGGAAGGGGUGGCCAGUGUACAGUAUAAAGGAGGAGAAGAAGCUUCUGUCCCUACUUUUUCCUAAGACUGCUGCCUUGAAGUGUUGCCUCUGUGCCAUGACACCCUGCUAUGGAGCCAGCUGUUUAUGGAUUGAAACCUCCAGAAAUGCCCCCCUCCAGGAACUCCUGGGUGCUGAAUGGUGUCUGGGCAUGAGCCAUGAGUGUCUCCACUCUGCAGAAUGGACCCCUCCUUGCAUGGAUUUGAUGGCACCACAAGACUCUUGGUGAGAAAAGGGAGAGAGAUAGCAUUAAAAUAAAGUAGCACCGCUGACCUGUGGACUGGUGUGAAGCCAUGUAACACAGAUGUAACUGGACACCUCAGAAAGGGGCUCAGAAGCUUUUGCAGAUUCAAUAGCUAAAAUAUUUCAGAUCUAAUACAAACUAGGAGCCCAUGGGAUCCUGACUUGUAUGACUGUGUUCAGGGCCUCAGAACUGGCCCAAGUUUUGAAGUUGGGCAAGAAAUUGUGAUUUUCAUAGAAUGCCAUGCUGUUCCCUCAAGGAAGCAUGAGACACAGGUACACUGCAUGGCAGAGAGGAGUGAUGAACUGGGUCUUGUGUGCUUCCCAAAGCGUCCUGUGCUGUGGACCUGUGCAAGCCACACCCCAGGAACAGGGGAACUCACAGACAGAAAGUAGGAGCUGAGAGGAGUGAAGGGAGAGGAGGGGCAGCUCCAUGGGCUGUGGGCUCUAUAUUGGGUCACAGAUUUUCCUCAACAGCACUGAAGUUGCAAUAAGAACAGUAAACUGAAGUACUGAUGACCUAUAAACUCCUGACCCCAAGAGGAGGUGCCCACGUCCCCGCAAUGAAGCAGGACCCCACCAGGGCAGGGAAGCCCUGGUUGUCCGGGGUCAGACAUCACCCCCUGGUGACAUAUUCCCAUCAGGCUCAGGGAUGGCAUGUCCCUGUGCAGGACUCAGGCUGAGCUGCAGCCUCUCACAUCCUCUGAGUCUUGGCCAGGUGUCUGCAUGUCACAGUGGAAGUCCUUCUGCACUGAGCACCUUCCAGAUGAGCUGAUCCCAAACCACCUCUGGGAGGUGAGGUCACCACCAUCUUCCUACUGUGAUUUUGAAGGCCAGGAUGGCACAUGCCCUAGGUGGCCACGAGUAAAGGUCACUUACGUCUUACCUGUAAACCAGGCAUGCCAUGUACAGCACAGAGAGGGCCCAGGGUGGGUCGAGGAGCUGUGGUCUGAAGCAGAGGGGAAGGCAGCAAGAACAGCUCAGCCAUGCUGACUGGGAGCCUGUGCAGGAGUUGCUGACUCUUCCUGAGAUGGGAGAGCCUGGAGCAGAGUGGGAAGCAACACAGGCCCAGCCCGGAAGUGAGGCCUUGCUCUGCAUGAAGCCGUAAGGCACAUCUCCUGCCUCCUCCUAACUAACUCACCCAGCUGUCAGUGCCCCCUGGCUUCUACAGUCCACCCAGGUGGGGAGAGGAGCAGCCAUGGGUCCUGUCUUCCCCUCUAUACUGGUGAGCAGGAAACACUUGCACCCCGAGUUUCCUUCUCCCCACCCCCUGCCCUGAUUACCCUGUGGGCCCCAGGGAGGAUCCAGGCCAUCCUGUCUGUGCCACCACAGUGGCCUCUCCCUGCCCUACUCCAGGCUCUGCUGCCCACACUGCUCAUCAUUCUAUCUUCUGAGGCUUCUGUUGUUCCCAUUCUCACCAGCCAGAGCCUCUGCAGGGCUCCAUCUUCCUGCAUCCACACAGCUUCUGUGAUGUCAGAGUAGUGUAGCAUCAGCAGAGCUCCCCACCUUCCCCUGUGAACAGAAGGACAGACACAGACAGGCAGACAGACACACAGACUCACAGACAACAGGCCCUCUCUGAGUCACUGCCACACUUGUGCCUUCUCACCGUGGCUCCCUGGCAUAAGGGGAGCUGGAAAGCACCAUCCUGCCCUCCACCUGUGCUGUGGGAAGAGAACUUCAGGUGGCAGCCUGAUCCACUGCACAUGAGCUCAGACCUUUUGCAAGGUCCUAGGGGAAACCCACACUCCCGCAGAGAACACCCAUGGGCUCCCUGCAGGGCCUGAGGCUCCUGCCCCAGAGUCAUCAGAGGUUUCCAGGUGUGCAUUCCUCCUGCCUGUCGUCCCCACCUGGUAGAGCUCUGCAGAAACCAAGAAAGUGUUCAUGUUUAAAGCUUUUCUGACUCCUUAAAGAUAAAACUCAAUCCUACAGGGGACACCACCUGGUGAUUGAGUUCUCUGUGCUCCUCUUCAUGGAGGAAGCUCUGACCCCACCCUGGUCCUGCUCUGGCCUCAGCCUCUGUCCCUUACUGUCUGCAGAUUUGCCCUGACCCAGUUCAUUGCACUCCAUCUGCUACUGCAUCCUGUCACCCCCUUGCUAUUUCUGUGCCCCUUCUGUGAAGCACCCAUCAUCUGACAUCAGGGGUCUGAGUCCUGGGAGAUCUGGAAAAGAAGGGUUCAGCUUCACCAACAACUCACACCUGGCACUGUGACUAUGCAUGGUGAGUGCCUGGUUGGCAAGGCUGGGUGACAAGGAUGAUGGCAGGAGGACACGAUGGCAGUCACAGGAGGUCUGCAAGAGGAAGGACUUGUUUGCCCCAGCUCAUAAGCUUGUCUUCCCCAGCUGUCUCCAGUGAGCUGACAGUCAGGACUGAGUGCAUCUCUGCUUUCGUCCACCUGCAGCAGGAUGGGCUGAGGGAGGGAGGAGACUCUUGGGAGGCUCUGAGAGGAAGGAGCAGCCCUGGGCACCAGCUCCUGGAGGGGAUAGUUUUGGAUGGCUCCAGCGGUACUUCCUGUUGUGUGCUGGCCUCAGGGAGGUGAGGCCAGAUCAUGUAGACACCCGGAUGGGGUAGACAGUGGAUGGGGAAGGGGAAUCCCAAUUUCUGUAUGAAGAGAACCUAACUACCACCCUGCCUCAGUUUGGGAGAUCCACAGCCAGACUCAGGGCAGGCAGUUCCUUUCCCUGUACAGAGCUGUUGUGAAAGCCCUGUGACUCAGGGACCCAGCACUGAAGUAUCCAUAUCAUGUGUGUGUUGCCUGCCAGGCACUGUAGUCUCCUCUAGCUACCUAGUGACAGGAGCCCUACUACAAAAAUCCCUAAGAGGAGGUUGGGUCACAACAUUUACAGAGCUUGAAACCUCAACAUGACAGUCAUGGAAAACUGCAGAGAAGGACAAGAGGAAAGGGGUGGCAGGAAUCUGCCCCUCACUCUGGCUCAUCCUCUCUCCAGAGCUGUCUGGGAAGCCCUCCCACCUGAACCAGCAUGGCCCUGUCCUGGACCCUAGAUAAAACUUGACCCUCCAGUGUUGCUUUGACAUUGGCUAUGGCAGAUUCUCUCUGUCCAAGGAAGGGCCAGAUGACCCCUCUAGCACCUUGGCUGACAGCCCCAGGCUGGGAACUCUCAGGCCGACUUCCCUCCUAGGCCCUUGGAGUGGAUCUCAUGGGGAAUGCUACAGAUGCUAUGGUGGACACAGCCUCUCCUCUGCAUGGACUGCAUCCAGUGACCCCCUGGACAUCUUGAUCACAGAUGAGGACCCUAGGGCUCAGUCAGAGACCCGCACUCUACACUGGCCCUGAUGUGGGAGUCCAAGAGGAUCACACAGUGGAGAACCUGGUAUGCAUGGGCAUGACUGGUCUGGUCCUGUUGGGUGUCAGGAUUCUGUUAUGAGACCCUCGACAAAGCCAGAGAAGCCCUUGAGAUGGAGCCAACAGAUCAACAUGAGAGACAGAAGACAAUGCAUCUUCUGAAGAGCAGAGGACUGGGAGUUAAUCCAAUGUUUCCAGGAGAUUCUGGAAAGGUCCUGGGGUUGUAAGUUGGGGACUGUCAGCUGAGAGGAAUAAAAUCACUGCUGGUUGGGGAAAAUGGCUGGGAGGGGCUGUGAAAGAUUCUUCCUCCAGUAUUCUGUGACUCUUUCUCUCCCUCCUGGUCCUGAGGUUCCCCGACUGUCCCUUCUUUUCUCACCCCCAACACAGGAGGGCCCAGUACAAGGUCAGGGUGGUCACCAUGAAUUAUUUUGCAUCAUGGUCCAGGCCUCUUCUAUGUAAUUCAUUUCAUUUUGAUCCAUGCAUGCCUUGAUAUGCAUUAGUUCAUCUGUCUACACAGCUGUGAAAAUGUCUGCAUUAACUGAAUAAGUGUGAAAAGUAAUCUAAGUGUAAUAUGCUGGUGCUGCAUCCUCUGAGAACCUUAGUUCACUCUCCAUCGAAUGCCACCUUAUGGUUUCUAGAGAAAUGUCAUAUUUUGGAAUCAAUACCCCACUAAUUAAUGUGUCAGCUGGAUGUCACACUGGGGAACCAGGUCUGCAAAGACAAAUUUUUAGCCAGGUGCAGGCAACGGCACCAUAAUCUAGCACUCUGGGAGACGGAGGCUGGAGGGUUGCAAGUUCAAGCCCAGCCUGAAUGAUUUAGCAAUUUACAAUAAACUUGUCUCAAAGUAAGCAAGAAAAAUGGGCUCUGGCUGUAGCUCAGUGUGAACAUUCUGGGUUGAUUCCCAGGACUACAAGAACAAAACCAUCUUCACAAGCCCAAGCUUAUAGCAUUUGCCCAAGACUGUGAUGUAAACACUCCCUUCCUAGGCACAUGGGGAUAAUAGUGUACCCUGCUACAGAGCUGACCUCAGAGCCAAUCUAAGUAAUAAAUUGGGGUAUGUGGAGCACAAGGUGAGAGUACGAAUUCCUUAAGGCAGUGUGUCUUCUUUCUACUUGGACUCGUGGCCCUUUAGGCUCUCUUUUAAUCUCUAACCAUGCGUCCCAGAAGUUUUCUGUUUGUAGCACCAAAAGUUCCCUACCUCUGCAUAUCCAUCUCUCACAUGAGUCUAUUCAGCCCCCCAUACACUGCCCAUUUAUUGUUUUGUGCACAGAUGGGAGGAAGUGAAUUGGACUUGGUGGAGAAAGGUCAUCAUGUCUUUAGCACACAGCAGCCACUGAGGGCUCUUAGGGAGGGAAUUCUUCAGCUAAACAGUACCAUUACUGAGGUGGAAAAGGCAUCCAGCAUGGCCACAUCCCUUCCAUAAAACUAAAGGGCCAGAAGGGGAGGGACAGUAAGGCUCCACCGGUAGAAGGGGCUUCACUAGGACAGAGGAGGCUGAGGCAACCCCACGUGACUAUGUCUGGGGUGAGGAUCCUCAACACAAAUCCCACACUUCUUGUGAGUCCAUCUUCUCCUCCUCUGGAUUAUGGUGUUUUGAUCAUAUGUACAGUUUUCCCUUAGUAUUUUUGAAAUGUUUUAAAUUAUUAUGGAGCAGUUUUCAUUUAUCAUUUUUGGAAUACUUUAAGUUAUUAUGAGCAUAUAAAAGUUUGCUUUGUUGAAUUAUGUAAGAUCCACAGUUCUCUUUUCUCAGAACCAGUUCUAUUCAUUUUGUGAGUUAGUUUUUCUUUUUAUGAGUCAUUUGGAGUGCAUGAAGUUUACAGUCACCGUGGGGAACAGUACAUGCACAUAAUAUGACUGGUUUCUCUUUCAUUUCUUCCACCCUCAAUCUUUCCUCAUUAAUUACCCUUCCCCCAUUUGUUAUGGAUUAAGAAUUGGUGGUCAACUUAACAUCAGCUGAAUUAAAUCAGCAUGGUGCUGAGUGUAGAUGGCCCCCCUGAGGAAAGUUGCCAGCAUAAAAGGAGAGGUGUCAAAGAACAGUGAGGCAUUGUGGGUUCUCCUAAGUAUUGCUGUUAUUUGGAGUCACUGGUUCUCCUGGAGAAGCUUGUCAUGCUGCCUUCCCCAAUAUGAACUUAGCUGUUAUCAUUGGAGGAGAAUGGGACUUUAUUCCUGAGAAUGAUUGCAGGUCACUUUGGUGGAGUUUUGGUCCUUAUUUUAAGCAUUGCUUCCUGGCUCUGGAUGGAAAGAUGUGUGCUAUUUAAUCUCUAGGAGAAGUUGUCAAGCUGCUUCCUGAAAUUCUGUUUUUGGGCUAAGAGUGAGGAAUAGGAAGAGGCCUUAGAAUCACCUAGGGGACAGAGAAUAUUCUGGACCCAUCUUCUGACUUCCUUAUAGGGACCCUACCCAAACCCAUGCUUUGGCCUGAAGUGGGUUCUUUGAUACCAAAGGGGAGACAUGUGAGCUCCCUGCUGUCAGGGUGCUGGAGCCUGGAAGUUCAAUCUUCACAGAGAAGGGAAAUCAAGGGCCUUAUUGAGACCACUAUAUAGGACAAUAUCAUUCUACACUACUAAUAAAGCAGCAUGAGAAGAAACCAGGAAAACAACUGCCUUCACAAAAGCUCCCAAUACUGUUUUCCGGGUGGUGAAGUCCAGGAGGAAAAACAAAAGGCCAAUUCACCCUUCCCAUGAGCCAGCAGCAGUCAUGCAUGGCCUGGGAAGAUAAACCACAAGCCAGGGUGGUGAAGUCCAGGAGGAAAAACAAAAGGCCAAUUCACCCUUCCCAUGAGCCAGCAGCAGUCAUGCAUGGCCUGGGAAGAUAAACCACAAGCCAGUUCACCCCUCCCAUGAACCAGCUGUAGACAGUUGGGACCUAGAAGGAGAAUCAAGAAGCCAAUUCUCCCUGCCUAGGAGUGAGUGGCAGCCAGAGGGUGCCUAGGAGGAGAAACAACAGGCCUAUUUACCCUUCUUGUGAGCCAGUGGCAGGGAAGUGGGGCCCAGGGGGAAAAACAAUGGGUGAUUUGACCUUCUCUUGAAGCAAUGGCAGCCAUGCAGGGUCUAGGUGGAGAAACAAGAUGCCAGUUUGCCCUUCCCACAUGCCAGCCAGUGUGUGGGCUGGGAGACAAUAACCACCAAUCCCCAAACCACAACUCUUCACCUCCAUACUGCUUCAUCCUGCCAUAAAUAAUCAACUGAUUCAGAGAAACACAGGCUGAGAUCAUAGCACCUAAGGUACAAAAUAAACUUAAUGCUUCUAUUGUUUGAUUGAUUUAGCAGCCCUAAAACUGGUAGUCUGGGCAUCUUCUUAGAGAAUAACAAUAAGCAAUGUGGCAAUUGUGAGGGCCUCCCUUCUGUCUUGUUUUUGAAAUCCAAUAUUGUUCUUACUGCUUUGGUUUGUUCCACUUGAUUGUUUUGUUUUCUUCAAUUUUCAGCUUUGAUUCAUUUUAUUCUGUUCUGUUUUGUUUGAUUUUAUUAUGUCUAAUGGGCAGCACUUUUGAAGAUAGCAAGAGGCAUUAUAGUAGCUAUUGUUGAUUUCCUAUUAUCCUGUUUUGAAAUCCUGUGUCACUUUCACUGUUUUGUUUUG